AGGAUGAACGCUGGCGGCGUGCUUAACACAUGCAAGUCGAACGAUGACUUUUGUGCUUGCACAAAAUGAUUAGUGGCGAACGGGUGAGUAACACGUGAGUAACCUGCCCUUAACUUCGGGAUAAGCCUGGGAAACUGGGUCUAAUACCGGAUACGACGGUCCACCGCAUGGUGGUCCGUGGAAAGCUUGAUGCGGUUUUGGAUGGACUCGCGGCCUAUCAGCUAGUUGGUUGGGGUAAUGGCCCACCAAGGCGACGACGGGUAGCCGGCCUGAGAGGGUGACCGGCCACACUGGGACUGAGACACGGCCCAGACUCCUACGGGAGGCAGCAGUGGGGAAUAUUGCACAAUGGGCGAAAGCCUGAUGCAGCGACGCCGCGUGAGGGACGAAGGCCUUCGGGUUGUAAACCUCUUUCAGCAGGGAAGAAGCGAAAGUGACGGUACCUGCAGAAGAAGCGCCGGCUAACUACGUGCCAGCAGCCGCGGUAAUACGUAGGGCGCAAGCGUUAUCCGGAAUUAUUGGGCGUAAAGAGCUCGUAGGCGGUUUGUCGCGUCUGCUGUGAAAGCCCGGGGCUCAACCCCGGGUCUGCAGUGGGUACGGGCAGACUAGAGUGCAGUAGGGGAGACUGGAAUUCCUGGUGUAGCGGUGAAAUGCGCAGAUAUCAGGAGGAACACCGAUGGCGAAGGCAG
This 689-nucleotide ribosomal RNA is filed under the name Arthrobacter sp. Its description in RNAcentral is "bacterial SSU rRNA". It matches the Rfam family "Bacterial small subunit ribosomal RNA", at positions 26 to 724 of the family's 1533-position model. Lineage: Bacteria; Bacillati; Actinomycetota; Actinomycetes; Micrococcales; Micrococcaceae. The record is from RNAcentral.